Capsicum annuum is the source of this 109-nucleotide long non-coding RNA. RefSeq lists it as uncharacterized. Lineage: Eukaryota; Viridiplantae; Streptophyta; Magnoliopsida; Solanales; Solanaceae. The transcript has 3 exons. The record is from RefSeq and is a predicted model, not a curated record.
ACCACGCUCUUCCGAUCUCUCCCAAGCAGUGGGAGGAGCCAGGGCUUUGACCGCGUGCCUGUUGAAGAAUGAGCCGGCGACUCAUAGGCAGUGGCUUGGUUAAGGGAAC